AGCGAACGCUGGCGGCAGGCCUAACACAUGCAAGUCGAACGAACUCUUCGGAGUUAGUGGCGGACGGGUGAGUAACACGUGGGAACGUGCCUUUAGGUUCGGAAUAACUCAGGGAAACUUGAGCUAAUACCGGAUGUGCCCUUCGGGGGAAAGAUUUAUCGCCUUUAGAGCGGCCCGCGUCUGAUUAGCUAGUUGGUGAGGUAAAGGCUCACCAAGGCGACAAUCAGUAGCUGGUCUGAGAGGAUGAUCAGCCACAUUGGGACUGAGACACGGCCCAAACUCCUACGGGAGGCAGCAGUGGGGAAUCUUGCGCAAUGGGCGAAAGCCUGACGCAGCCAUGCCGCGUGAAUGAUGAAGGUCUUAGGAUUGUAAAAUUCUUUCACCGGGGACGAUAAUGACGGUACCCGGAGAAGAAGCCCCGGCUAACUUCGUG
RNAcentral lists this ribosomal RNA (433 nucleotides) under uncultured bacterium. RNAcentral describes it as "partial 16S ribosomal RNA". It matches the Rfam family "Bacterial small subunit ribosomal RNA", at positions 29 to 507 of the family's 1533-position model. The record is from RNAcentral.